This is an unclassified non-coding RNA of Macaca fascicularis (crab-eating macaque), 151 nucleotides long. It matches the Rfam family "Metazoan signal recognition particle RNA". Rfam says of the family: The signal recognition particle (SRP) is a universally conserved ribonucleoprotein. It is involved in the co-translational targeting of proteins to membranes. The eukaryotic SRP consists of a 300-nucleotide 7S RNA and six proteins: SRPs 72, 68, 54, 19, 14, and 9. The record is from Ensembl. Lineage: Eukaryota; Metazoa; Chordata; Mammalia; Primates; Cercopithecidae.
GCUGGGUGUGGUGGCGCAUGCCUGUAGUUCCAGCUACUUAGGAGGCUGAGGUGGGAGGACUGCUUGAGCCCAGGAAGUCAAGGCUGCAGUGAGCCAAGAUCACUAUGUCACUGCACCCCAGCCUGGGUGACAGAGCGAGACCCCAUCUCAA